AUUGUCUCAGUUACGGCGAGUGAAGCGACAGCAGCUCAAAUUUGAAAUUCGACUCUCUCGCGCGGAGACCCGAGUUGUAAUUUGAAGAGAGCGCUUCGAGACGCGCCGCCGAUUCAAGUCUCUUGAAACAGAGCGUCACGAAAAAUGAGAGUCUCGUUCGCGAUCGACGAUCGAUUCCCGCGCGAAGCCCCUUCGACGAGUCGAGUUGUUUGAGAAUGCAGCUUCAAGCGAGUGAUAAAUUUCAUCUAAAGCUAAAUAUCGGCCGAAGACCGAUNGCGCACAAAUAAAGUGAUCGAAAGAUGAAAAGCACUUUGAAAAGAGAGUCAAACAGCACGUGAAAUUGUUGAAAGCGAAGCGCUGACCCUCAGACUCGCGCGCGAGCGAUCACCCGUCGACUCCGAUCGCGGAGCACUCGCUCGCGUCUCGAGUCAGCACGAAUUCGAGCGACGAAAGAAAGAACCUGAGAAUGUAGCUUUCUUCGAAGUGCCUUAUAGUUCGAGCCGUCAUGCCGCCCGCUCGGACCGAGGAUCGCGUUUCUCGAGACGAGAAUGCUGACGUAAUGAAAGUCAGCGACUCGUCUUGAACACGGAUCAAGGAGUCUAACGUCUUCGCGAGUGUUUGAGCGUCAAACUUCGACGCGAAAUGAAAGUGAACGCAGGUGAGAGUUCCUUCCUCGAGAGAAGCGCAUCAUCGAUCGAUUCAGAUGUCUUCGAAUGAAUUUGAGUACGAGCGCGACCGUUGAGACUCGAAAUAUGAUGAACUAUGCCUGAGUAGAGUGAAGUCGUAGAAAACUCUGAUGAAGACUCGCAGCGAUUCUGACGUGCAAAUCGAUCGUCAAACCUGAACAUAGAGACGAAAGACUAAUCGAAUC
RNAcentral lists this ribosomal RNA (871 nucleotides) under Collema furfuraceum. RNAcentral describes it as "LSU rRNA". It matches the Rfam family "Eukaryotic large subunit ribosomal RNA", at positions 74 to 941 of the family's 3401-position model. The record is from RNAcentral. Lineage: Eukaryota; Fungi; Ascomycota; Lecanoromycetes; Peltigerales; Collemataceae.